GACGAACGCUGGCGGCGUGCCUAAUACAUGCAAGUAGAACGCAGAGGCAGGGGCUUUCUUCGCUGGACGAGUGGCGAACGGGUGAGUAACGCGUGGGUAACCUGCCUGUUAGCGGGGGAUAACUAUUGGAAACGCUAGCUAAUACCGCAUAAUAUUUACUAUUGCAUGAUAGUCAGUUGAAAGGUGCGACUGCGCCGCUACCACUUGGAGCUUCGGCGUAUUAGCUAGUUGGUGGGGUUACGGCUCACCAAGGCGACGAUACAUAGUCGACCGGAGAGGGGGGUCGGCCCACCUGGGAAUGUGACCGGGCCCAAACGCCCUAGGGAAGGAGCCAGAGGGCAACUUCGGGAAUCGGCGGAAGUCUUACCGAGCAACGCCGCGGGAGGGUAGAAGGGUUUCGGGUCCUGAAGGUCUGUUUUAAGGGAAGAAACAGUGUGAGAGUGGAAAGCUCACACUGUGACGGUACCUUAUCAGAAAGCGACGGCUAACUACGUG
Molecule: ribosomal RNA, 495 nt
Filed under: uncultured bacterium
Lineage: Bacteria
Description: partial 16S ribosomal RNA
Rfam family: Bacterial small subunit ribosomal RNA
Source: RNAcentral